RNAcentral lists this long non-coding RNA (476 nucleotides) under Homo sapiens (human). Its description in RNAcentral is "HSALNT0187109". The record is from RNAcentral. Lineage: Eukaryota; Metazoa; Chordata; Mammalia; Primates; Hominidae.
GAUUAUAGCUCACUGCAUUCUUGAACUCCUGGCCUCAGGCAAUGCUCCUGCUCCUGCCUCAACUUUCCAAAGUGCUGGGAUUAUAAGUGCACGCCAUCAUGCCCGACCUGACUUGAUGACUUCUUAAGAUUCAGUGAAGCCUGACUCAUUGCUCCAGCUGGAGAGUUGAUUAUGACACAAUGCCUGCCUUGAAGAGCACUCUUGGCCAGGUGCAGUGGCUCACACCUGUAGUCCCAGCACUCUGGGAGCCCAAGGCAGGUGGAUCACUUCAGCCCAGGAGUUUGAGACCAGCCUGGCCAACAUGGCAAAACUUCAUCUCUGCUAAAAAUACAGAAAAAUUAGACAAGCGUGGUGGCAUGUGCCUGUAGUCCCAGCUACUCAUGAGGCUGAGAUGGGAGAAUCACCUGAAGUCAAGGCUGCAAUGAGCUGUGAUCAUGAUCAUGCCACUCCAGUCUGGGUGAUGGGAGUGAGACCCA